RNAcentral lists this ribosomal RNA (321 nucleotides) under uncultured bacterium. Its description in RNAcentral is "SSU rRNA". It matches the Rfam family "Bacterial small subunit ribosomal RNA", at positions 26 to 376 of the family's 1533-position model. The record is from RNAcentral.
AGAACGAACGCUGGCGGCAUGCCUAACACAUGCAAGUCGAACGAGACCUUCGGGUCUAGUGGCGCACGGGUGCGUAACGCGUGGGAAUCUGCCCUUGGGUUCGGAAUAACAGUUAGAAAUGACUGCUAAUACCGGAUGAUGUCUUCGGACCAAAGAUUUAUCGCCCAAGGAUGAGCCCGCGUAAGAUUAGGUAGUUGGUGGGGUAAAGGCCUACCAAGCCGACGAUCUUUAGCUGGUCUGAGAGGAUGAUCAGCCACACUGGGACUGAGACACGGCCCAGACUCCUACGGGAGGCAGCAGUGGGAAUAUUGGACAAUGGAC